Molecule: ribosomal RNA, 477 nt
Filed under: uncultured bacterium
Lineage: Bacteria
Description: bacterial SSU rRNA
Rfam family: Bacterial small subunit ribosomal RNA
Source: RNAcentral
UGACAGUACUCUACGGGGAGGCAGCAGUGGGGGAAUAUUGCACAAUGGGCGCAAGCCUGAUGCAGCCAUGCCGCGUGUGUGAAGAAGGACCUUCGGGUUGUAAAGCACUUUCAGUCGUGAGGAAGGUAGUGUAGUUAAUAGCUGCAUUAUUUGACGUUAGCGACAGAAGAAGCACCGGCUAACUCCGUGCCAGCAGCCGCGGUAAUACGGAGGGUGCGAGCGUUAAUCGGAAUUACUGGGCGUAAAGCGCAUGCAGGUGGUUUGUUAAGUCAGAUGUGAAAGACCCGGGGCUCAACCUCGGAAUAGCAUUUGAAACUGGCAGACUAGAGUACUGUAGAGGGGGGUAGGAAUUUCAGGUGUAGCGGUGAAAUGCGUAGAGAUCUGAAGGAAUACCGGUGGCGAAGGCGGCCCCCUGGACAGAUACUGACACUCAGAUGCGAAAGCGUGGGGAGCAAACAGGAUUAGAUACCCUGGUAG